Molecule: ribosomal RNA, 426 nt
Filed under: uncultured bacterium
Lineage: Bacteria
Description: partial 16S ribosomal RNA
Rfam family: Bacterial small subunit ribosomal RNA
Source: RNAcentral
GUGAGGAAUUUUCCGCAAUGGGCGAAAGCCUGACGGAGCAAUGCCGCGUGAAGGAUGAAGGCCUAUGGGUUGUAAACUUCUUUUCUCAGAAAAGAAUUAUGACGGUAUCUGAGGAAUAAGCAUCGGCUAACUCUGUGCCAGCAGCCGCGGUAAGACAGAGGAUGCAAGCGUUAUCCGGAAUGAUUGGGCGUAAAGCGUCUGUAGGUUGUUUAAAAAGUAUUCUGUCAAAGAUUAGGGCUUAACCCUAGAUAGGCAGAAUAAACUUUUAAGCUAGAGUUUGGUAGAGGCAGAGGGAAUUCCCUGUGGAGCGGUGAAAUGCGUAGAUAUCGGGAGGAACACCAAAGGCGAAGGCACUCUGCUGGGCCAAUACUAACACUGAGAGACGAAAGCGAGGGGAGCAAAUGGGAUUAGAUACCCGGGUAGUCC